AAAGAGUGGGAGAGUGAGAUACCAAGGCAAAUGGGCCUGUUCAGACCACUUGAUUGAUUCCUCAUAAUACAAGGAAGAUGGUAACAGAAACUGUGGUAAUGCCUCAGGAAAGUUUGGAGGUUGUGGGUGAUGAUAUAUAUAUAUAUUGAGAAAAAUUAGCUGAAUUUAUUAUAUUCCAUUUGAUUGAAAUAUAUGGGUUUGGAGCAAAUAAUUUUUAUAUUUAAUGCUUUAUUUUUAAUCAAUCUAUAUGUUUUUAUAAGAAUUUUUAAAAAUAUCCCUAAG
RNAcentral lists this long non-coding RNA (282 nucleotides) under Vitis vinifera (wine grape). Its description in RNAcentral is "long non-coding RNA (VVIN_LNC002213)". The record is from RNAcentral. Lineage: Eukaryota; Viridiplantae; Streptophyta; Magnoliopsida; Vitales; Vitaceae.